Molecule: ribosomal RNA, 253 nt
Filed under: uncultured bacterium
Lineage: Bacteria
Description: partial 16S ribosomal RNA
Rfam family: Bacterial small subunit ribosomal RNA
Source: RNAcentral
UACGAAGGGGGCUAGCGUUGUUCGGAAUUACUGGGCGUAAAGGGCGCGCAGGCGGUCGCUCAAGUCAGGCGUGAAAGCCCCGGGCUCAACCUGGGAAUAGCGCUUGAGACUGAGCGACUUGAGUUCGGGAGAGGAGAGCGGAAUUCCCAGUGUAGAGGUGAAAUUCGUAGAUAUUGGGAAGAACACCGGUGGCGAAGGCGGCGUCCUGGACCAACACUGACACUGAGGAGCGAAAGCCAGGGGAGCAAACGGG